RNAcentral lists this ribosomal RNA (402 nucleotides) under uncultured Hyphomicrobiales bacterium. Its description in RNAcentral is "bacterial SSU rRNA". It matches the Rfam family "Bacterial small subunit ribosomal RNA", at positions 355 to 774 of the family's 1533-position model. The record is from RNAcentral. Lineage: Bacteria; Pseudomonadati; Pseudomonadota; Alphaproteobacteria; Hyphomicrobiales.
UGGGGAAUAUUGGACAAUGGGCGCAAGCCUGAUCCAGCCAUGCCGCGUGAGUGAUGAAGGCCUUAGGGUUGUAAAGCUCUUUCACCGAUGACGAUAAUGACGGUAGUCGGAGAAGAAGCCCCGGCUAACUUCGUGCCAGCAGCCGCGGUAAUACGAAGGGGGCUAGCGUUGUUCGGAUUUACUGGGCGUAAAGCGCACGUAGGCGGAUUUUUAAGUCGGGGGUGAAAUCCUGGAGCUCAACUCCAGAACUGCCUUCGAUACUGGAAAUCUUGAGUCCGGAAGAGGUGAGUGGAACUCCUAGUGUAGAGGUGGAAUUCGUAGAUAUUAGGAAGAACACCAGUGGCGAAGGCGGCUCACUGGUCCGGUACUGACGCUGAGGUGCGAAAGCGUGGGGAGCAAACA